GGUCAAGGUCAUGCCUGCACCUUACCUGUAAGGGUCCUGAAGCCAUGGAUGACCCAUGUGUGCUUUAGAUUUUUUUCUGGAAGCCCUGAAGGCACCCUUGAAAAUUGAGUGUGUUGUGGAACAGACCUAUGUUAGGACUCAUGGCUGUUGUGAUGCUGCUCCCUUCUGGACACACUGUCAUUUUCUAAGAUUGGCACUUAGUGGAUGAGCAAAGAACUGGUUAGCUUGACCCAUUAAGGAGAGGAAGCCUUGGCUACAUUCACAGCAAAGCAGUAUCUAGCAGAAGUACUGGUCAUAGUACUGUACAAUGCCAUCAUGUUGAUAGUGAAGAGCCCACUGAGAGUGCUGAUAGUCCUGAUGUCUUGUUCCAGAUCUCACCGUCUCUUUCUACUUGGUGGCAUGUAAAUAGUUGUGGUCUGGGGCUGGGAUGUAACUCAGUGGUAGAGCACAUGCCUAACGUACAUGAGGCCCUGAGAUCCCCAGCACCCCCCCACACACACACACACAAAGGUACAGCAGAUGCACACUGAAGGAACUUGUAGGUGGUGGGCCUUUUAGGAUUCCCUCAUUCUGUGUAUGUUUUGGUAGUGAACUCAGUUUACUAUUAUAAUGAUGACAUUUUUGUCUCCCUGCGACUCUGUUGUUCCAAAGGAAAUAUUUAAAACUGCCUCGGUAAAAUUGAAA
This 684-nucleotide long non-coding RNA is filed under the name Heterocephalus glaber (naked mole-rat). RNAcentral's name for it is "lncRNA (ENSHGLG00000037546.1)". The record is from RNAcentral. Lineage: Eukaryota; Metazoa; Chordata; Mammalia; Rodentia; Bathyergidae.